AAUAAGAUGCCUGAAAAAAGGAUUAUUUUGAUAGAAUAAAUUAUACAUUUAUUGUUCUUAUUA
RNAcentral lists this transfer RNA (63 nucleotides) under Atkinsoniella uniguttata. RNAcentral's name for it is "tRNA-Ile". Lineage: Eukaryota; Metazoa; Arthropoda; Insecta; Hemiptera; Cicadellidae. The record is from RNAcentral.